AGUGAACGCUGGCGGUAGGCCUAACACAUGCAAGUCGAACGGCAGCACAGUAAGAGCUUGCUCUUACGGGUGGCGAGUGGCGGACGGGUGAGGAAUACAUCGGAAUCUACUUUUUCGUGGGGGAUAACGUAGGGAAACUUACGCUAAUACCGCAUACGACCUACGGGUGAAAGCAGGGGAUCUUCGGACCUUGCGCGAUUGAAUGAGCCGAUGUCGGAUUAGCUAGUUGGCGGGGUAAAGGCCCACCAAGGCGACGAUCCGUAGCUGGUCUGAGAGGAUGAUCAGCCACACUGGAACUGAGACACGGUACAGACCCCUACGGGAGGCAGCAGUGGGGAAUAUUGGACAAUGGGCGCAAGCCUGAUCCAGCCAUACCGCGUGGGUGAAGAAGGCCUUCGGGUUGUAAAGCCCUUUUGUUGGGAAAGAAAAGCAGCAGGUUAAUACCCCGCUGUUCUGACGGUACCCAAAGAAUAAGCACCGGCUAACUUCGUG
This 492-nucleotide ribosomal RNA is filed under the name uncultured bacterium. RNAcentral's name for it is "partial 16S ribosomal RNA". It matches the Rfam family "Bacterial small subunit ribosomal RNA", at positions 29 to 507 of the family's 1533-position model. The record is from RNAcentral.